This 23-nucleotide non-coding RNA is filed under the name Arabidopsis thaliana (thale cress). The record is from RNAcentral. Lineage: Eukaryota; Viridiplantae; Streptophyta; Magnoliopsida; Brassicales; Brassicaceae.
GGGUAGCCAGAUUAGAUAUUACC